CCAGGCAACGAUACGUAGCCGACCUGAGAGGGUGAUCGGCCACACUGGAACUGAGACACGGUCCAGACUCCUACGGGAGGCAGCAGUAGGGAAUCUUCCGCAAUGGACGAAAGUCUGACGGAGCAACGCCGCGUGAGUGAUGAAGGUUUUCGGAUCGUAAAACUCUGUUAUUAGGGAAGAACAAAUGUGUAAGUAACUGUGCACAUCUUGACGGUACCUAAUCAGAAAGCCACGGCUAACUACGUGCCAGCAGCCGCGGUAAUACAAAAU
This 270-nucleotide ribosomal RNA is filed under the name uncultured bacterium. Its description in RNAcentral is "partial 16S ribosomal RNA". It matches the Rfam family "Bacterial small subunit ribosomal RNA", at positions 269 to 531 of the family's 1533-position model. The record is from RNAcentral.